Macaca fascicularis (crab-eating macaque) is the source of this 1581-nucleotide long non-coding RNA. NCBI's taxonomy places the organism in Eukaryota, Metazoa, Chordata, Mammalia, Primates, Cercopithecidae. The record is from Ensembl.
UGUAACACUAUACUAUGAUGAAACCGAAGGGGAGAAGAUGAUAAAAGAUUCAACUAUUAAACCUCUAAAACUCACUCAGUGUCCCAAUGUGUAAUUUAUUUAAAUAACUUUAUUUUUAACAAACAUCAACUUCCUACACUUUGAUUAGGUUUAUUAAGUUUAAUUGGUUAAAGCUGUACGUACUCCAGAAUGUUUAUAAAAGACAUGUCUAUCUAUUCUUAUGGUGAUUUUUAUUUCUUUUUCUUUUUUUUUCUAGCACAGAUAAAGCUGCUUCGUGUGUCAUAAUGCCCACGUGUAAGAACUUUUCUGGCAUAAAUACUGAAGAGUGGAAAUCCUGAGUAUUAUCUAAUGAUUUUAUAGGCAUUACCAAAUUACUACCCUAAGCAAUUACACCAUUCUACAUGCUCUCCAGCAAAGUAGAAUUCCCGUUUUUCUACACCCUUAACAUUUUUACUUACCUGUUGAUGCAAGAGAGCUUUAGCUUGGUGCCACUCUAUCUUUAAUACCUUUCUAACACUUGCUAACUACCUUUUGUCGCAAAGGGAGAUAGGUACCCCGGAUCAGAAACUCGAACAAACUGAAAUCUAAACUUUCAUAUUAUCAUUUUACAUUCUGCCUGGGUUGUUUUUUUGUUGUUGUUGUUAUAGUUGCCUACUAUUCUUGCACAAGGGAUGCUGUCUUUCCAAUUGUGAUAAACAUAGGAAAUUUCCUUUUAAAAGAAAUUAAAUCAGUAAGACAGAGUAAAACAAAAUAUUAGGUAAAUAAUUAGUACAGAUUGCAUGUGAUUUGGAGGAGAAAAAAAAAUCAUGCAGGAAGCUCUGAAUAAGUAAAGAUGGGAGAAGUAAUACGCCAGUGAUUAAUUGCAGGGGAAUGUUGUUGAGCUCAAGACCAGUGGGUUCUGCAAUUAGGUAACACCUCCCUGGAAACUGUAGUAUUUCAGAAGUGAAAAAUCCUGGGGACCAUGUAAUCCGACCUAUGUGUUUCAUGGGUGACGACAUUGUGGUCCAGAGAGAGGAAGUGUCUUGCCAGUAAUGGCACAGUGAGUCAGUGGCCAAGUGGAGGCUGGCACCCAGGUUUUCUCCACCAAGCACAUGACAAGUGGUCACUGGAUUGACAGGAACAAUCAAAGCAGACUUAUUAAGUGAUUAGAACAACAGAUCCUUAUCCCUGGCUCUGUGUACCCACCGUUUGCUGUUUCGUCAUCUUGUAAUGCAGAUCUCCUGCAACCUAUCUUUUUAGCUUUCUUUUAUCUGAAAAUGCCUAUUUCUGUCUGCAUUCUUGAGGGAUAUUUGCACUGAAUGUAGAACUCAGGAUGAACAUAUUUUAAAAUCUUAUCUCUUCUAAGAUAUUCUUCCGCAGUCUGCCAGCCGCCAUGGUUUCAAAUGAGAAGUCGGUGAUCAUUCAGGUGUUCUCCUAUAUGUACUGUAUUAUUUUGAACUGGCUGCUUUCACGAGUUUCUUUUUAGCUUUGGUUUUCAACAGUUGGGCUAUUAUGUGCCUAGGUGUGGUUUUCUUGCAUUUAUCCUACUUAGAUUUGCUAAGCUUCUCAAAUCUGUAUUCCUUAAAAAAAAAAAAAAAAAAA